GAGAUUAGAGGGGUGGGGCCAGGGGAAAUAUGUGUUUAGGAGGGGGUUGUAUAUACCCAAAAGGGGUACUGGGGUCCAGUUAAGGUGGAAAUUGGGGUUGGGAGUGCGCUUAGAAACAGAGACAGACAAAUAGGCUAUAUGUAAAGGGUGGAGGGAGAAAAGGGAAGAAGAAGAAAGAAAGAAAGAAGAAGGGGGGAGGCGGGGGGGGAGAGGGGAGAUUGGAUUGAAAGAGAGAGGGGAGAUAGUACAGUAAUAUCAGCGGUAUUAAUUCAAAUAAAGGGUGGCUGCAGCAGCAGUGGCCCCUCUUUUAAAAAGAAAAAUGAUAAAAGUAGGUAUAUGGGGGGGA
Podarcis raffonei (Aeolian wall lizard) is the source of this 346-nucleotide long non-coding RNA. RefSeq lists it as uncharacterized. The transcript has 3 exons. The record is from RefSeq and is a predicted model, not a curated record. NCBI's taxonomy places the organism in Eukaryota, Metazoa, Chordata, Lepidosauria, Squamata, Lacertidae.